CUCAUGAAUGGACCCCACAUAAGUUGGUUCAGCUAAGAUUCACAGUCUAAUUUAAAAGCUUCUCUGCCUAUGGGAUGGGACAUAUCUCCUGUACGAUUUUACCAAUAAGAGUUUUCAAAAGCACAGGAAGAAGAUCAUGAUCAUGCCACUUAGAGAGAUCGAUGAGCACAAGAAUUCAACAGAAGCCGUGGCUGUGGAAGAGCCAUGCAUGUCCAGAGAGGCUGAUCUUCAUCAUCAGCUUCCAUGGAAAUGGAAUUAAGAAUGGUUAGACGUACGGCUUUCAGAUGAGUUCUACUGCUCUCAAUUAGCAAUAAAUACAAGGAGGCAACCAAAGCAAAAGGGGUUGAAGAAAAAGAUGUAACCCGGCAAGUCUGGUUCUUGGCUCAUGUUUACUUUUACUUUACUUGUUCGCUUCUUAAUUGUUUCUUUCUUCUGCUGUGCUGUUCUUCCCUCCCCCCAUAUGGGGAUCGAAACUCCGACUUUAUAUCUUGUUAUUAAUUUCAUUUAGUGGAACUAUGAAUUAGACCGUAUUAAUAACUUUGAGUUGUAAUUUGUUGUUAGCUUUUCCAGUGUAAUAAUUUCUUUUUUCUUUUACUAGUGGUCAUCGAUUCGUAUUUUGAA
Long non-coding RNA from Prunus persica (peach), 621 nucleotides. RefSeq lists it as uncharacterized. The record is from RefSeq and is a predicted model, not a curated record. The transcript is spliced from 2 exons. NCBI's taxonomy places the organism in Eukaryota, Viridiplantae, Streptophyta, Magnoliopsida, Rosales, Rosaceae.